ACUACUAUACGCUGUGUCAGGGUUCUAGUCAAAAGAUGGCGGCAUCCUGGCCUAGAGCCCUAGUAUUCGUAAGCAGAAAGGCUGGGGCUACAGCUGAGGGAGUGUUUGACUGCCCCACAGAAAACCCUGGUUUCAAUCCCUAGUACCACCGAAAAAUAAAAUAUAAAAAGUCACGUGUGGCGGUACCUGCCUGUAAUCCUAGCACACACUCCAAUUCGGGGACAGUCUAGUCCCCCAGGACAAGUACCAAUGUGCAGAUAUUGUUCUUCAUGUGGGAACCUACCUUCUUCCUGGGGUCUCUCUAAUAUCAUCUUAAGCAGAGAAGAGAGCUACUUGCUGAAGCUCUGGGAACAUCAAGAGAGGCCACGUCCUUGAUGCUUCUGGAGCUAAAGCUAAGAACAGGUGGAGACUCCCGGAGUGUGGAUAGAGACUUUCCUUCUCCUGUAGGAAGGAUGACUGCCCAUCACUAGUGCGGACCAAGAUGGUGAGGUGAGGAUGGACCCUCCACCGAGGAUGCCCCCAAUGUCCUUUGCCACUCCGAGAUCCUACAGCUCCAUGAAGGUGCAGCAUGUGGUCCCCAGCCCACGAGUCUCACACUUGCAGCUGCGUGCUUUUCUAUGAUAUGAAUAUUGAAAUGUCAUCUGAUUGCAUUAUACGUCACCAGUGGGGGUAUAAAGAGGAAAAAAAACCUACGGGUCCUGCGCGGCACCUCUCCUUGGAUGUCUUACAGGACCCAGAAAAACAACAUCAGCCCUAGGCAUAGCUACUACGGGCCUGCUUCUCCCUGACACUCUUCCACCUCCCUGCCCCUGGCAGCACCUAGGACUGGGGGUCCCAGGAAUGGGAGUCACAUGGUCAAAGGCGUGGGGCCCAGUCACCCCAGGUUUUUCCUCACUUUGAGAGUUUCAUCCACUUCGUGGUCAGAAGCGUCUUCUAUUGCUGCUGCUGUUGGUUGGUUUUGUUGUUUUGUUUUGAGACACUACACAGAAGGCUGGCUGGUCUGGAACUUAACUGUGGACAAUCUAGGCUAACCUCGAACUUAUGGCACUCCUCCUGCCUCAGCCUCCCAAGUGCUGGGAACUGCAGGUGUGCACCACCACACCUGCCUUCGUGAGUUCUUUUUAUGACCCUUCUCCAUCAUCUACCCAGCUUUCCCUCUUCGUGGAGACCCCAAGCUAGAAGCAGACAGUAGCAUAUACUCUCCCCAGUGUUCUCCUUCUCCCCUCCUCCCUAGCUAACCAUCUCAACACCCCAGCACUCUGGCUGAACCAGGAGGAAGAAACAGCACUGCGUGCAUGGCUGUAAUGGAGGGGCCUCUAGACAGAGGAUCGAUGACUGUAACCAGGCAGCGGGGCAAGGGGGGGGGGGAUUAGCAGCAUGCCUCCAACCCCUAUUUGCUCCUGCCUUCUAUUUUCCUAGCCCGUGUACCCAGUGGUCACAAAAAAGGCAGAGGCAGAGGAGCCCCUGGGGGUCAGAGGACGGUACAGACAGAUGAAGAACAGCCACAUACCCAGCCCACGUUAACCCUGACUCUCUGCUGGUGCCUCUGCCCCAUUCUCUCAGGCGAUAAGUGAACUGCUCUGUUUUCUCAUCCUAAAGAAUUGCGCCAACUGGGAGCACUCACCGCUGUGGCUCCUGCAGGCACCCUGCCCUCAAGAUUGCAUUCUCCAGCUCACAUAGCCCAGCAAGGCACUGCCCCCAAAGAAAGACCUCUGAGGGAUCCGUCAGGCUGAUUGGAGGCAGUUGAGCGCAAAUCUGGAGAAUUUUCCAGCCAGAAGGCUAGAUCCAUUCACGGCCCCCAGAGAGAUCUCAAUAUCUGCUUGUGUGGGUUUCCUUGUGCCAACAGCAAAAUUGAUCAUCCUAACCACUUAAACAAGAGUGAUCCAUUACUUUGAACUAAAAGGACGCUUGUCAACUACGGGAACACCCUACAUGAGUUAAAACACCGGCAGCUGGCAGCAGCCUCAGCGGACUGUUGGGAUCUGCUUGAAGGUGUCCUGCAUUUGGUCAUUAUUGCAGCCAUGGUUAAUCUGUCAUUUGGCCUUGGAGGGCAUCCCAGAACCAAAACCCAGAGUCCACUGUACAGCGAGGUGACACAGGACCUUUGGACCCCAUGCCAAGGGCUCCCAAAUUGUCCUGGUUUGGGUCAGUGCUGUAGUUUGGGUGGACUAGAAGAUGGGCUGGCUCAAUAGCCCAGGCAGGCAUGUGGCUCAUUUGUUCUUGCCAAGGAGGAGUGUUGUGGCCAGGCAAGGAAUAACUCUGAGAUUCGCUGCCAUUGCAACCCUGAAAAAAAAAAAAAAAAAGG
This is a long non-coding RNA of Peromyscus californicus insignis, 2305 nucleotides long. RefSeq lists it as uncharacterized. The record is from RefSeq and is a predicted model, not a curated record. The transcript is spliced from 2 exons. Lineage: Eukaryota; Metazoa; Chordata; Mammalia; Rodentia; Cricetidae.